CCUACGGGAGGCUGCAGUGGGGAAUAUUGCACAAUGGACGGAAGUCUGAUGCAGCAACGCCGCGUGCGGGAUGACGGCCUUCGGGUUGUAAACCGCUUUCAUCCAUGACGAAGCGAGAGUGACGGUAGUGGGAGAAGAAGCACCGGCUAACUACGUGCCAGCAGCCGCGGUGAUACGUAGGGUGCGAGCGUUGUCCGGAUUUAUUGGGCGUAAAGAGCUUGUAGGCGGUUUGUUGCGUCGGAAGUGAAAACUCAGGGCUUAACUCUGAGCCUGCUUUCGAUACGGGCAGACUUGAGGAAGGUAGGGGAGAAUGGAAUUCCUGGUGAAGCGGUGGAAUGCGUAGAUAUCAGGAGGAACACCGGUGGCGAAGGCGGUUCUCUGGACCUUUCCUGACGCUGAGAAGCGAAAGCGUGGGGAGCAAACAGGCUUAGAUACCCCAGUAGUC
This 445-nucleotide ribosomal RNA is filed under the name uncultured Tessaracoccus sp. Its description in RNAcentral is "bacterial SSU rRNA". It matches the Rfam family "Bacterial small subunit ribosomal RNA", at positions 338 to 795 of the family's 1533-position model. The record is from RNAcentral. Lineage: Bacteria; Bacillati; Actinomycetota; Actinomycetes; Propionibacteriales; Propionibacteriaceae.